AUGAACGCUGGCGGCGUGCCUAAUACAUGCCAGUCGCGCGAACAGACGAGGAGCUUGCUCCUCUGACGUUAGCGGCGGACGGGUGAGUAACACGUGGAUAACCUACCUAUAAGACUGGGAUAACUUCGGGAAACCGGAGCUAAUACCGGAUAAUAUAUUGAACCGCAUGGUUCAAUAGUGAAAGACGGUUUUGCUGUCACUUAUAGAUGGAUCCGCGCCGCAUUAGCUAGUUGGUAAGGUAACGGCUUACCAAGGCAACGAUGCGUAGCCGACCUGAGAGGGUGAUCGGCCACACUGGAACUGAGACACGGUCCAGACUCCUACGGGAGGCAGCAGUAGGGAAUCUUCCACAAUGGGCGAAAGCUUGACGGAGCAACGCCGCGUGAGUGAUGAAGGUCUUCGGAUCGUAAAACUCUGUUAUUAGGGAAGAACAAAUGUGUAAGUAACUAUGCACGUCUUGACGGUACCUAAUCAGAAAGCCACGGCUAACUACGUG
This 496-nucleotide ribosomal RNA is filed under the name uncultured bacterium. Its description in RNAcentral is "partial 16S ribosomal RNA". It matches the Rfam family "Bacterial small subunit ribosomal RNA", at positions 29 to 507 of the family's 1533-position model. The record is from RNAcentral.